UGGGGAAUUUUGGACAAUGGGCGAAAGCCUGAUCCAGCAAUGCCGCGUGUGUGAAGAAGGCCUUCGGGUUGUAAAGCACUUUUGUCCGGAAAGAAAUCCUUGGCUCUAAUACAGUCGGGGGAUGACGGUACCGGAAGAAUAAGCACCGGCUAACUACGUGCCAGCAGCCGCGGUAAUACGUAGGGUGCAAGCGUUAAUCGGAAUUACUGGGCGUAAAGCGUGCGCAGGCGGUUCGCUAAGACCGAUGUGAAAUCCCCGGGCUCAACCUGGGAACUGCAUUGGUGACUGGCAGGCUAGAGUAUGGCAGAGGGGGGUAGAAUUCCACGUGUAGCAGUGAAAUGCGUAGAGAUGUGGAGGAAUACCGAUGGCGAAGGCAGCCCCCUGGCCAAUACUGACGCUCAUGCACGAAAAGCGUGGGGGAGCAAAACAGGAUUAGAUACCCUGGUAGUCCACGCCCUAAACGAUGUCAACUAGUUGUUGGGGAUUCAUUUCCUUAGUAACGUAGCUAACGCGUGAAGUUGACCGCCUGGGGGAGUACGGUCGCAAGAUUAAAACUCAAAGGAAUUGACGGGGUCAUAGCUGUUUCCU
Molecule: ribosomal RNA, 588 nt
Filed under: uncultured bacterium
Lineage: Bacteria
Description: partial 16S ribosomal RNA
Rfam family: Bacterial small subunit ribosomal RNA
Source: RNAcentral